Long non-coding RNA from Aotus nancymaae (Ma's night monkey), 2677 nucleotides. The record is from Ensembl. Lineage: Eukaryota; Metazoa; Chordata; Mammalia; Primates; Aotidae.
UCUGUCUCCAGUUGUAGGACUGGCCUAGAGGACAGUCUAGAGCUGACCUGACCAUGUGCAAGUCACGUCUCCAGCCCUGAGGAAAGGAGGCAACAGGAAGCAGGAAUCAGGGAAGAAGGGACAGAUGGCCUGUGUUGGAGGGACUUGUAGGGGAAGGAAAGAAAAGAAAAAAGGAAAAAAGGAAGAAAAAAAGACAAAGACCUCUCCUCUAAUCUCUGAGUCCUCAACUGACACUCCCCAGCCUGUUCACUACUCCCUAACCCAGCCUGGCCUACUGUGGAAGAAAAAAAGCAGCAAAUGGAAGAAACAUCUCAAAUGGAAAUCAGCAAGCGGUUUACUUGGUUCUCUGUAUCCUCUUUUGGAUGCUUCCAGUUCCACAAAAUAGGCACUAAAAAAUUCAUUUUCUUAGAGUCCCAGUUACCAUUGUUACGGUUUUGAGAAAGCUGUGAACCUUUGCUUAUAUAAAUACGGAACAUUUUUCUUGAGGUUCUGCCUCUAGCACCACGUUGCAGAAGAGGCUUUGCCCUGGCUGGUAAUACCCUGCAAACUUCUGACUUUCUAGUUUGACCCCCUAAAAAUGAAAACUUGAAAUUCUGAAUUUAAAAAAGCUGAGAAGAUUUUACACUGUAGGACCUCUCAGAGCUUAUACUAUGCUACUGUGCUUCGAAGAUCUCUAAGAGAGUUAAAAGAUGCCCCACUUUCCAAGAUUUUGACAAGGAACAAUAUAUCUAUAGAGCAUCUAGCAGCAGUCAUGUUGAGUGGAGAUUCUUGGGGAGAUGCUCAUCUCCUUUACACGGUUUUACAAGGCCUUUCUCAACCCAACCUCCUCUCACCCGUCUAACCACAUCUCUCUGUUCCACACUCUAUUCUAAGUUACAACCACACAGAAUUCCUUGUCAUCCUUGAACAUAAUCUGCUUUUUUUUUUUCUUUUUAUCAUGCUCUCCCACACAGUCUUCUUUGAAGACCAUUUCUCCUGGCAAAUUCUGACAUCUUCCAGAACCUAGUUUUAUAGCCACUUGAUCCAGAGGUAUGAUGGCUUCAUAAGAUGCCAAGAGCACCCUCAGGGCCAGAUUAAUACAGGCACAAGGUGUGACAGUCUAGGUGGGGAUUAAAUAUUACUGCAGUAGUAGAGCACUACUAAGGUAUUAAAACUGACAGAAUAGUAUACUUAAAAACAAAACAACAUACAAAAAACUAUCAGUGAGAAUGCUUUCUAAGUUUGGGGAAUAUUUUGGAAUGUCACUGAUGAAACAGACAUUUUUGAUAUAAUAAUUCAUGGCCAGUAAGUUUUCUACAAAGGAGUUUGAGUGUAUUUCUUUGCUAUGGGACUUCCUUGGGCUAGAGGACUUCCUUGGGCAGGUUUGGGAUAAGAGCUGGAUUGCUGAAGGCAGGAGAAGCUUCCAAAUCAACCUCCCUAGUGACCAGUGAUUCCUCCAAAUAAAAGUUAAACUCUACCAGUAUAUGACAAUAUUGAAUUAUUUAACUACUAUAUGCAACUUUCAGGGAAUCAGUCAGAUACAUCAAACUCCCUAAAACCUCCCAUUUGCUGAAGCCAACCAGAAACCAACAGGCAAAGAAGUCUACAGAGAUUUAGCCUUUUAGGACACAGAGCAGCACACACACCCACACACACACACACACACACACACACACACACACACACAAAGAAUGUGUAAGGGAGGGUGGAUAGAAAAAUGGACAAGGAUCAACCUGCCUUCCCUAGAGAUUGUAUCAAUUUACAUUCCUACAACAAUGUAGAAACAUGUUUAUUAGUCCAUUUUCUCUUUGACACAGGACAUUAUCAAACUAUUGAAUCUUUGCCUAGCUGGUACCUGAAAAAUGCUAUGCCACUAUACUUUCAAUUGCUUUUCUCUUUUUAUAGGCAGAGUUAAUAAUAGAUUUUUCAAUGUUUUAAGAGCUAUUUAUAUUUUUAUCAUUUGAACAGUAAUUUUAUAUUCUUUGCCUAUAUUUUACAGUAGAGGGCACUUUUUCCUUAUUGAUUUACCAUGGUUUUUAUAUAUUAAGGAAACUGACCUUCUGUCUCUGCUUUUGAUUUUACAGAUUUUUAAUUAAUCUCUUUAUUUUUGCAUUCUUUAUAUUUUUCCUUGGGCAGGUUUGUUUUUGUGUUGCUAAAUUCAUCAAACUUACAGAGAGUCUGGAUUUUAUGCCACACCUAUGCCUUAUACACAUUGUGAUUUUAUAUUUUUUCUCUAGUAAUUGUAUGCUUUUUUAAAAAAAACUGUCUUUGAACCAUUUGAAAUUUAUUUUGAUGUAAGGUUCAAGAUAGAUAUUCUACUCCAAAUCAUUGCCACUUUUCUUAACAUAAUUUACUAAAUAAUUUUUCCUCCACUGAUUUAUAAUUUCAUUCUUAUCAAAUGUCAAAUAUAUAUUUGGUUUAAUUCUGGAUGUUUUACUCUAUCUUCUGUCCUGCUUAUCUUUUUUAAAUUUAUGCAUUAUACUUUAAGUCUGGGGUACAUGUGCAGAUUUUUUUCAUUUAUCUAUUAUACUUUAAGUUUUGGGGUACAUGUGCAGGUUUGUUACGUAGUUAUACACGUGCCAUGGUGGUUAUUGGGUGCAUCCAUCACCCCGUCAUCUAUAUUAGAUAUUUCUCCUAAUGCUAUCCCUCCCCAAUCCCUUAACCCCCUGCUAUUCCUCCCCUAGCCCCCCAUCCCCCA